Molecule: non-coding RNA, 293 nt
Organism: Cricetulus griseus (Chinese hamster)
Lineage: Eukaryota; Metazoa; Chordata; Mammalia; Rodentia; Cricetidae
Source: RefSeq, a predicted model, not a curated record
CACUUUGGUACUUGCUGGACAGAAUGCUGCCACGCCGGCUGGCUAGGUCGCUCUGGCUUUAAUUGAUGUGCUACAAACUGUUGUUACUUAAAGCGCAUGAUUUGGACCAGAUGUAAUGGUGCACACCUGCAAUCCCUGACUUGACUGAGUGCCAGAAGUUCAAGACUAGGAUUGACAAUAUAACGAGUUCUAAAGCCAGCCUGAGCAGCCUGAGAAACAAGGAACCUGUCUCAAAAACAAAUAAAAAAUCAAUCAAUAAAUCAAAUCAAUAAAGCAUCAGUGUAAUGAGUUUA